Molecule: unclassified non-coding RNA, 374 nt
Filed under: soil metagenome
Description: partial contains 5.8S ribosomal RNA, internal transcribed spacer 2, and large subunit ribosomal RNA
Rfam family: 5.8S ribosomal RNA (bases 1-120)
Source: RNAcentral
GAUGAAGAACGUAGCGAAAUGCGAUAAGUAAUGUGAAUUGCAGAAUUCAGUGAAUCAUCGAAUCUUUGAACGCACAUUGCGCCCGCCAGUAUUCUGGCGGGCAUGCCUGUUCGAGCGUCAUUUCAACCCUCAAGACCCCUUCGGGGGACUUGGUGUUGGGGACCGGCACAGGGGCCUGCCUGCUUGUCUUGCAGCGCCCUCGCCGCCCCCGAAAUGAAUUGGCGGCCUCGUCGCGGCCUCCCCUGCGUAGUAGCACAAACCUCGCAACGGGAACGUGACGGCGGCCACUGCCGUAAAACAACCCAAUUUUAUUAGAGUUGACCUCGAAUCAGGUAGGAAUACCCGCUGAACUUAAGCAUAUCAAUAAGCGGAGA